Molecule: ribosomal RNA, 440 nt
Filed under: uncultured bacterium
Lineage: Bacteria
Description: partial 16S ribosomal RNA
Rfam family: Bacterial small subunit ribosomal RNA
Source: RNAcentral
CCUACGGGAGGCAGUAGUGGGGAAUAUUGCACAAUGGGCGAAACCCUGAUGCAGCGACGCCGCGUGAGCGAAGAAGGACUUCGGUAUGUAAAGCUCUAUCAGCAGGGAAGAAAAUGACGGUACUUGUGACAGAAGCUCCGGCCAAAUACGUGCCAGCAGCCGCGGUAAUACGUAUGGAGCAAGCGUUAUCCGGAUUUACUGGGCGUAAAGGGAGCGUAGGAGGCCUGCCAAGUCUGAUGUGAAAUACCGGGGCUCAACCCCGGGGCUGCAUUGGAAACUGGCAGGCUGGAGUGCCGGAGAGGCAGGCAGAAUUCCUGGUGUAGCGGUGAAAUGCGUAGAGAUUAGGAGGAACACCGGUGGCGAAGGCGGCCUGCUGGACGAAGACUGACGCUCAGGCUCGAAAGCGUGGGGAGCAAACAGGAUUAGAUACCCGUGUAGUC